GCCACAGGCACACACACCCCCAAUCAGAGGCGCGCACCCCGCUCGCUCCCGGAACUGUCAUGCGGGCUGACAGCUGGCACACCCUCCUGUCGCCCUCCACCCGCCUGCAGAAAGCCCACUCCCUACAGUCACCUUGACAUUGCUCACCUGCCUGGGCCUCAGCCCAUGACCAAGGAAACUUUUGCCCUCCCUCCCCAGGAGCUCACUUACAGGCCAUCUUCAAAGGUACUGCCUACCUGAACCUGCCUUGUCCCAAAGGACACACUUCAAUCUGGGGAGAGUUUAAAGUUGUAGACAUAUCCAUUUUCAUUUAAGGAAUAUGAAGAUCAGGGAGGCAAAAUAUAGAGAUAUAGAGAGGAAAAACUGAGAGAUGAUCAGAAAUUCAGACGCAUUCGGAAUGAGCACCCUUGACCAUACCAAGAACAAAGACUCUAUAAAAAUGUGAAGUCUUAUUAUUGUUCAUCCAUGUUCUACGUGGGAUCCACCCAAGACAUUGAAAACUGUACAGAACAGGGUGAAAUUGAAUCAGAUCAUUCUGUACUCCUAACAAGGUCCACCCCAUGAGAGACUUGCAGCAGAAUUAAUGACACUGUAUAUUUUCCUCUACUAACAACAACAAGAACAACAACAACAACAAUCUAGGAAAAUCAAAGGCAGCCCGACAUGGAAAAAAACACAAAAUGAAUAUUUGGAUUACAAAUAGUGUGAUGGGAAGAACACACUGCCAAAAGUCCACCUAGUAUGUUGAAAUUACUGUUUCUAGCACAUAUAAGAUUUGCUGCCAAUUUGUACUGACUUCUGAAAAAUACUUUAUCCAUUGUCUUCUUACAUCAGAAUCAACUCCCUAAAUUCUUCAGCACUGGCUUUGUAAACUGGUUUCUGGUCUUUGUUUCUGUCAACUUACCUAUAAAAGGAUACAAAAACUGAAGAACAGAGAGGAGCAGAUACCCUGGAAAGCCGAAAGUUUUAUUGACCAAAGACUGAGUCUCGGAAUGUUUUGAUUGUGGAGUUUAUAGAGUUCAGGCUGAAGUUUUAUAAAAAUAACUUGCAGCAGCAUGGAGGACUGAUGAGAAAGUAGACAGAUGCUGGAAGCAGGAAAACUGAACAGCAGGUCACUGGCCAAGGAGAAUCAAAGAGCUAGAUGCUGAGAAUAAUGCAGCCAUAACGUGAAAUCUUUUUGAGGCUCCGUGGUGGUCUUAAAAUAUAUCCACAAAUUUUCUGACAUCCUCUCUUCAAGAAGUGGAGCUUAAUUCCCUUUCCUUUGAGUGCAGACCACUCACUCUGGGAGAAAGCAACUGGCUAUGUCAUGAGGAAAUUGAAACCACCUAUGGAGAAAGGCCCACAUGGUGAGAAAGUAAAGCCUCUUCCCAAUACCAAAAUUCUGUAAGUCUGCUACGGUGACAUUUCUGGUUAGGAGUCAGAGUGGAUGGGACACUGAGCAAUAAGAAUGCAGAGACAUGAUGGCUGAAGCUGGAGCUUUUCCCUGAAGCAACCACCUGUUGGAAACUUCAUGUUGAAGAUGACUGAAUAAUAAGACAGAGGGGUCUGGGUCCCUGGUGGAUAUUCCAGAUCUGGGUGUUCGUGGAGAUAUGAGAAAGCAAUAAACUUCAAUUUUGCUUAAAUAGCUGUUACUUGGGGCAUUCUGUCAUUUAUGGACAAAUCUGACCUGGAUUAAUACACCUCCAGC
Molecule: long non-coding RNA, 1687 nt
Filed under: Homo sapiens (human)
Lineage: Eukaryota; Metazoa; Chordata; Mammalia; Primates; Hominidae
Description: PREDICTED lncRNA (TCONS_00152205)
Source: RNAcentral